Molecule: ribosomal RNA, 5487 nt
Filed under: Clostridioides difficile
Lineage: Bacteria; Bacillati; Bacillota; Clostridia; Peptostreptococcales; Peptostreptococcaceae
Description: 23S ribosomal RNA
Rfam family: Bacterial large subunit ribosomal RNA (bases 3058-5487)
Source: RNAcentral
CCAAUUUCUAAUAAUGCCUUCAAUGUAUUUAACUGGCUUUGAUGUACCAGUUUUAUCUUUGACGUAUUCAUAUGCGCAAAGUAUCAUAUCGGGGCUCAUAUUGUAUUUAUUCAUUAUAUCCAUAAUACUCAUCUUUUCACUUGGGUCGAGAUAUCGCCCAACUAUUUUAUUUAUAGAAUUAAACAUUUUUCUAAUACUUGGAUUUUCAGAAGUAGAUACAACCUUAUCUGUAUUAGAUUUUAUAGAUGAAUUAUUGCUUAAUAUAUUCUCAAUAUAGAAAUUUUUUAAAUCUAAAAAUUCUAUUGAAUAAUUAAAAUUAUCAUAUUCUCCAUUGUCAUGUAUUUUUAUAAUCUUCUUUUCUUCCCAGAAUUUCCAAGCAGAUAACACAUCAGACAAUGGUAUAUUUAGGUUUUUGGCUAUUGAAUUAUUGUCGAACUUAGGAUUAGAAGUAAUAUCACAUGCUUGUCUAUAUCCUAAAAGAUAAACUUUUACGUAUAACCCGUCCGCCAUUGGCAUAAAUAUAUCUAUAAAGAUAUUGGGAAUAGUGAUUUCACCUAAAUCUAUUUCAUUGCUUUCUUUAAAAAACAUUUUAUCACCUCAGAUUAAAUUAUAUCAUUUUUUAUAUUAUAUUUGUCUGUAAACAAAUAAAAGGUCACAAGAUUAGCAUGUAAAUAUUUUCUAAAAGUAUUCAUUUUGAAAAGGAGGAGAUAUUUUGGUUAUAAAAUUCAACCAAAAAGUAAGAAGAACAUUAUCAGUAGCGAUUCUAUUUAUGGUAUUAAUAAUAGGUUGCUUUAUAGAAAAGGAUGACAGUUUAGAAACAUACAAAGAAAAAACUAAUUCAAAAAUAAAUCAGUAUAAUAUGGAUGUUAUAUUUGAUGAUGAGACUAAGAGGUUAAUGUGCAAUCAGAAUGUUGACUACAUAAAUAAUACAAAAUCAAACAUAGAUAAAAUAUAUUUCCAUAUAUAUCCGAAUGCUUUUUCCAAGAAAGAUUUUGCUCCUUUUGAAAAAAGUGAAAUGACAAGGGCUUAUCCUAAUGGAUUUAACGAAGGAUAUAUAGAUAUAAAGAAUAUAUUAAAUAAUAAUAGUAAAAUGGAGUAUAAAAUUAAAGGAGACAAAAAUGACAUAUUAGAAAUAGAAUUAGGGAAAGAGUUAAAACCAAAUGAAAGAAUGUCAUUAGAUAUAAAAUAUAACGUAAAAAUACCAAAUUCAAUUGGAAGAUUUGGAUAUGGAGAAAAUACUAUAAAUGUUACUAAUUGGUUUCCUAUAGCUUGUGUAAAUGAUGAAAGGGGAUGGAAUUUAAAGAGUUAUGAAACUAUUGGCGACCCAUUUUAUAGUGAGACUAGCGAUUUUCAUGUGAAACUAUUGAUUCCAAAUAAAUAUAAAAUUGCUCAUACAGGAAAACUUAUUGAUGAUAAACAUGAUAAUAAGAAAAUGCUAUAUGAAAUAGAAGCUGAAAACGUUAGAGAUUUUGCAUUUAUACUAAGUAGUAAAUUUGAUGUAAACAAAGUAGAUUCAAAGGGAGUAGCUAUCAAUACAUAUAAUUUAAAUAAAAAGCUUUCUAAAAAAGCAACUGAAGUGGCAAAAGAUUCAAUAAAUAUAUUUAGUGAAUUAUUUGGAAAGUAUCCUUACAAAGAAUUUUCUGUUGUAGCAAGUGACUUUUUUAUAGGGGGGAUGGAAUACCCUAUGCUUGUUAUGAUAGACCAAAGUUUAUAUAAUGAAAAAAAUGAAUUUUUACUAGAAUAUGUUAUUGCCCAUGAGACAGCACAUCAAUGGUGGUAUUCUGCUGUUGGAAAUGAUGAAAUAAGUGAACCCUGGUUAGAUGAAGCACUUACUGAAUAUUCUACAAUAGUUUAUUUUGAACAAAAGUAUGGUAAAGAUAUGGCAAACAAGCUUAUAAAAACUAUGGAGAUACAGACAAAAAGUUAUUUGAGUGAAAAUAUAUUUAAGCCAGCAAAUGAGUAUAAAAAUUCUACUGAAUACAGCUUGAAUGUUUAUACAAAAGGCGCAAUAGCAUUUAAUGAAAUAAGAAAAGAAGUUGGAGAUAAAGUAUUCUUUGAGACUUUAAAUGAAUACUAUAAUAAAUAUAAGCAUAAAAAUGCUAAUGGAAGAGCUUUUGUGGAACUAUGGAAUAGUAAAGGUGUAGAUAUAAAUAAGAUUAUAAGUGAAUGUAAGUAAAUAGUGAAUGUAAGUAAAUUUUGUGCAGAGUAUUAAAUUUUAUUUAAUACUCUGUUUUUUUGGUAUAAUAUAAUUUAUAAGGCAGAAAAAGAGGUGAAGGAAUGCUAAAGUAUUGUUCAGUAGGGAGUGGUAGUAGUGGGAAUUGCCACUAUAUAGGGUAUAAAAAUACUAAUAUACUAGUAGAUGCAGGAUUAAGUGGCAAGAGAAUAACUACAGGUCUUAAAGACAUUGGUGUAGAUGCAGAUAAAUUAAAAGGAAUAUUUAUAACACAUGAGCAUGUUGACCAUAUAAAAGGAGCAGGUAUAUUAUCCAGAAAGUUCGAUAUACCAGUAUUUGCUAAUAUAAAAACAUGGUGUUCUAUGAAGGACAAAUUAGGUGACAUCAAAGAUAAAAAUAUGAAAGUAUUUGAAAAUGAUAAAACCUACUCAUUAGGUGAUAUCAUAGUGAGACCUUUUUCAAUAGAACAUGAUGCGUCUGAUCCAGUUGGAUAUAAUUUUUAUACAGAGAGUGAUGAAAAAAUGUCUAUAGCUACUGAUAUAGGAUGUAUAACUCAAAAUAUAAAAAAACAUCUAUAUAAAUCUAAAUUAGUAGUAUUGGAAUCAAAUUAUGACCCUAAUAUGCUUAUGAUGGGUUCAUAUACAUAUGCUUUAAAGAAAAGAGUAAUGUCAAGUACUGGUCAUUUAUCCAAUGAAGAUGCAGCUAAUUUCUGCGUUGAACUUAUUAAUGAAGGUACAGAAUCUAUAUUAUUAGCACAUUUAAGUAAAGAAAAUAAUUUUCCUGAGUUAGCAUAUGAGACUUCAAAAGGAGUAUUAGCAUCAAAUGAUAUAGUAGUUGGACAAGAUGUAAAACUAGAUGUACUAUCACGAAAUGAUGUUUCUAAUGUUUAUGAGAUGAAGUAGAGGUGAAUAACUUUGCUAAAGAGAAAUUUUGAAAAUGUUGAGGAUAAUAAAAUUUUAUNUGAAACCCUGCACUUACAAGCUGUGGAAGCACAUUUCUUGUGUGACCGCGUACUUUUUGUAGAACGGGCCAACGAGUUACGUUAAGUAGCAAGGUUAAGCACUUAAGGUGCGGAGCCGUAGCGAAAGCGAGUUUUAACUGAGCGUUCAGUUACUUGACGUAGACCCGAAACCGGGCGACCUACCCAUGAGCAGGAUGAAGCGAAAGUAAAAUUUCGUGGAGGUCCGAACCCACGAGCGUUGAAAAGCUCGGGGAUGACUUGUGGGUAGCGGUGAAAUUCCAAUCGAGCCCGGAGAUAGCUGGUUCUCCCCGAAAUAGCUUUAGGGCUAGCCUCAAGGUGAGAGAUACGGAGGUAGAGCACUGAAUGUCCUAGGGGGUAUUGCACCUACCGAAGACUAUCAAACUCCGAAUGCCGUCAUCUUAUACUUGGGAGUCAGACUGUGGGUGAUAAGAUUCAUAGUCGAAAGGGCAACAGCCCAGAUCGUCAGCUAAGGUCCCUAAAUGUAAGUUAAGUGGUAAAGGAUGUGGGAUUGCACAGACAACCAGGAUGUUGGCUUAGAAGCAGCCACUCAUUCAAAGAGUGCGUAAUAGCUCACUGGUCGAGUGAUCCUGCGCCGAAGAUUUCCGGGGCUAAAACUUACUACCGAAGCUACGGCAUCAGUAAUGAUGGGUAGGGGAGCUUCCCAUACGGGUUGAAGCAUGACCGUAAGGACAUGUGGACAGUAUGGGAGUGAGAAUGUUGGCAUGAGUAGCGAGAUGUGGGUGAGAAUCCCACAGGCCGUAAACCCAAGGUUUCCAGGGGAAGGUUCGUCCGCCCUGGGUUAGUCGGGACCUAAGCUGAGGCCGAAAGGCGUAGGUGAUGGACAACAGGUUGAUAUUCCUGUACUACCGAUAACCGUUUGAGAGAAGGGAUGACACAGUAGGAUAAGCUAAGCACACUGUUGGUUAUGUGUGCCCAAGCAUUGAGGCAGUCAAAGUAGGCAAAUCCGCUUUGAUAAUGCUGGGAUGUGAUGGGGAGCGAAAUUUAGUAGCGAAGUAGCUGAUUUCACACUGUCAAGAAAAGUCUCUAUCGAGGUUAAAGGUACCCGUACCGCAAACCGACACAGGUGGGUGAGGAGAGUAUCCUAAGGCCAGCGAGAGAACUGUUGUUAAGGAACUCGGCAAAAUGACCCCGUAACUUAGGGAUAAGGGGUGCCACCAUCAGGUGGCCGCAGAGAAUAGGCCCAAGCGACUGUUUACCAAAAACAUAGGUUUCUGCUAAGUCGCAAGACGAUGUAUAGGAGCUGACGCCUGCCCGGUGCUGGAAGGUUAAGGGGAUCUGUUAGAGCAAUCGAAGCAGUGAACUUAAGCCCCAGUAAACGGCGGCCGUAACUAUAACGGUCCUAAGGUAGCGAAAUUCCUUGUCGGGUAAGUUCCGACCCGCACGAAAGGCGUAACGAUUUGGGCACUGUCUCAACAACAGACUCGGUGAAAUUGUAAUUCCGGUGAAGAUGCCGGAUACCUGCGACAGGACGGAAAGACCCCAUGGAGCUUUACUGUAGCUUGACAUUGGGUCUUGGUACUACAUGUACAGGAUAGGUGGGAGGCUUUGAAACCAGGACGCCAGUUUUGGCGGAGCCAUCCUUGGGAUACCACCCUUGUAGUACUGGGACUCUAACCAUAGGCCAUGAAUCUGGUCUUGGGACACUGUCAGGUGGGCAGUUUGACUGGGGCGGUCGCCUCCCAAAAGGUAACGGAGGCGCUCAAAGGUUCUCUCAGUACGGUCGGAAAUCGUACGUAGAGUGUAAAGGCAAAAGAGAGCUUGAUUGCAAGACAUACAGGUCGAGCAAGGAUGAAAAUCGGACUUAGUGAUCCGGUGGUUCUGCGUGGAAGGGCCAUCGCUCAACGGAUAAAAGCUACCCUGGGGAUAACAGGCUUAUCUCCCCCAAGAGUCCACAUCGACGGGGAGGUUUGGCACCUCGAUGUCGGCUCAUCACAUCCUGGGGCUGUAGUAGGUCCCAAGGGUUGGGCUGUUCGCCCAUUAAAGUGGUACGCGAGCUGGGUUCAGAACGUCGUGAGACAGUUCGGUCCCUAUCCGUCGCAGGCGUAGGAAAUUUGAGAAGACCUGUCCUUAGUACGAGAGGACCGGGAUGGACGUACCUCUGGUGUACCAGUUGUCCUGCCAAGGGCAUGGCUGGGUAGCUAUGUACGGAAUGGAUAAGCGCUGAAAGCAUCUAAGCGCGAAGCCAACUUCAAGAUAAGAUUUCCCACCGCAAGGGUAAGACCCCAGAAAGACUAUCUGGUUGAUAGGUCGAAGGUGUAAGUGCAGUAAUGUAUUUAGCUUAUCGAUACUAAUAGGUCGAGGACUUGACCAA